Molecule: ribosomal RNA, 365 nt
Filed under: Desulfotomaculum sp. SRB-M
Lineage: Bacteria; Bacillati; Bacillota; Clostridia; Eubacteriales; Desulfotomaculaceae
Description: bacterial SSU rRNA
Rfam family: Bacterial small subunit ribosomal RNA
Source: RNAcentral
GUUUGAUCCUGGCUCAGGACGAACGCUGGCGGCGUGCCUAACACAUGCAAGUCGAACGGGGUUUAAGAGGAAGCUUGCGAAUCUUAAACCUAGUGGCGCACGGGUGAGUAACGCGUGGAUAACCUGCCUGGUAGACCGGGAUAACAGCUGGAAACGGCUGCUAAUACCGGAUACGCUCUGGAUGUUGCAUGACAUACAGAGGAAAGAUUUAUCGCUAUCAGAUGGGUCCGCGUCCCAUUAGCUAGUUGGCGGUGUAAGAGACCACCAAGGCGACGAUGGGUAGCCGGCCUGAGAGGGCGACCGMCACACUGGGACUGAGACACGGCCCAGACUCCUACGGGAGGHGCAGUGGGGAUCUUCCGCAU